GAGCCUGACUGGCGCAUUAAGGUACUGCUAAUUCCUUUUACUAUGAUUCAAUUUCAUAGCAGACUCA
RNAcentral lists this transfer RNA (67 nucleotides) under Limnonectes blythii (giant mountain frog). Its description in RNAcentral is "tRNA-Ser". The record is from RNAcentral. Lineage: Eukaryota; Metazoa; Chordata; Amphibia; Anura; Dicroglossidae.